This 404-nucleotide ribosomal RNA is filed under the name Verrucomicrobiota bacterium. RNAcentral's name for it is "Verrucomicrobia bacterium partial 16S ribosomal RNA". It matches the Rfam family "Bacterial small subunit ribosomal RNA", at positions 355 to 776 of the family's 1533-position model. The record is from RNAcentral. Lineage: Bacteria; Pseudomonadati; Verrucomicrobiota.
UGGGGAAUAUUGCACAAUGGGGGAAACCCUGAUGCAGCGACGCCGCGUGAGCGAUGAAGGCCUUCGAGUCGUAAAGCUCUGUCCUAUGGGAAGAUAAUGACGGUACCAUAGAAGAAAGCCCCGGCUAAUUACGUGCCAGCAGCCGCGGUAAUACGUAAGGGGCGAGCGUUGUCCGGAAUUAUUGGGCGUAAAGAGUGCGUAGGCGGCAAAUUAAGUCAGAUGUGAAAACUAAGGGCUCAACCCAUAGAUUGCAUCUGAAACUGAUAUGCUUGAGUCAAGGAGAGGAAAGUGGAAUUCCUAGUGUAGCGGUGGAAUGCGUAGAUAUUAGGAGGAAUACCGGUGGCGAAGGCGACUUUCUGGACUUGAACUGACGCUGAGGCACGAAAGCGUGGGGAGCAAACAGG